Molecule: ribosomal RNA, 483 nt
Filed under: marine sediment bacterium ISA-1170
Lineage: Bacteria
Description: bacterial SSU rRNA
Rfam family: Bacterial small subunit ribosomal RNA
Source: RNAcentral
UGGCGGCAGGCUUAACACAUGCAAGUCGAGCGGUAACAGAGAGUAGCUUGCUACUUUGCUGACGAGCGGCGGACGGGUGAGUAACGCGUAGAAAUCUGCCUGGUAGUGGGGGAUAGCCCAGAGAAAUUUGGAUUAAUACCGCAUACGCCCUACGGGGGAAAGCAGGGGACCUUCGGGCCUUGCGCUAUCAGAUGAGUCUGCGUCGGAUUAGCUUGUUGGUGAGGUAAUGGCUCACCAAGGCGACGAUCCGUAGCUGGUCUGAGAGGAUGAUCAGCCACACUGGGACUGAGACACGGCCCAGACUCCUACGGGAGGCAGCAGUGGGGAAUAUUGCACAAUGGGCGAAAGCCUGAUGCAGCCAUGCCGCGUGUGUGAAGAAGGCCUUAGGGUUGUAAAGCACUUUCAGCAGUGAGGUAAAGGUUGUAGCUUAAUACGCUAUAGCUGUGACGUUAACUGCAGAAGAAGGACCGGCUAACUCCGUGC